UACGGAGGGUGCGAGCGUUGUCCGGAUUUAUUGGGUUUAAAGGGUGCGCAGGCGGCCCGUUAAGUCAGAGGUGAAAGACGGUAGUUCAACUAUCGCAGUGCCUUUGAUACUGACGGGCUUGAAUACAGAUGAGGUAGGCGGAAUGUGACAAGUAGCGGUGAAAUGCAUAGAUAUGUCACAGAACACCGAUUGCGAAGGCAGCUUACUAAGCUGUGAUUGACGCUGAGGCUCGAAAGCGUGGGGAUCAAACAGG
Molecule: ribosomal RNA, 253 nt
Filed under: uncultured bacterium
Lineage: Bacteria
Description: partial 16S ribosomal RNA
Rfam family: Bacterial small subunit ribosomal RNA
Source: RNAcentral